Molecule: ribosomal RNA, 1957 nt
Filed under: human metagenome
Description: bacterial LSU rRNA
Rfam family: Bacterial large subunit ribosomal RNA
Source: RNAcentral
GAAAGUAAGCAAGGGCAGACGGUGGAUGCCUUGGCUCUCGGAGGCGAUGAAGGACGUGAUAAGCUGCGAUAAGCUUGGGGUAGGUGCAAAUAACCUUUGAUCCCAAGAUUUCCGAAUGGGGCAACCCGGCUGGUAGAAGGCCAGUCAUUCCGUAAGGAAGGCGAACGUGGGGAACUGAAACAUCUAAGUACCCAUAGGAGAAGAAAACAAAAGUGAUUCCGCAAGUAGUGGCGAGCGAACGCGGAACAGCCCAAACCGAUGAUGUUUAGGCAUUGUCGGGGUAGUAGGACCACGUUGUGGCAAGAGAUUAAGGAAGUAGAACGUUUUGGAACAAACGGCCGUAGACGGUGAAAGCCCAGUAUACGACUCUUUAACGAAGCCUAGUGGAAUCCUGAGUAGCGCGGAGCACGAGAAAUUCUGUGUGAAUCAGCGGGGCCCAUCCCGUAAGGCUAAAUACUCCCGAGAGACCGAUAGCGAACCAGUACUGUGAAGGAAAGGUGAAAAGCACCUCGAACAGAGGAGUGAAAUAGUCCCUGAAACCGUCUGCCUACAAGCGGUCGGAGCAACGUAAGUUGUGACGGCGUGCCUUUUGCAUAAUGAACCUACGAGUUACUUUCUCCGGCAAGGUUAAGGGCUUCAGGCCCGGAGCCGAAGCGAAAGCGAGUCUUAAUAGGGCGUGAUAGUCGGAGUGAGUAGACGCGAAACCAAGUGAUCUACCCUUGGUCAGGAUGAAGGUUGGGUAACACCAACUGGAGGUCCGAAUGGGUAUACGUUGAAAAGUGUUCCAAUGAACUGAGGGUAGGGGUGAAAGGCUAAUCAAACUUGGAGAUAGCUCGUACUCCCCGAAAUGCAUUUAGGUGCAGCCUUGCGGGUUACUGAUGUGAGGUAGAGCGACUGAUAAGAUGCGAGGGCUUCACCGCCUAUCAAGUCUUGACAAACUCCGAAUGCGCAUCAGUUCUACCGCAGGAGUGAGGGCAUGGGUGCUAAGGUCCGUGCCCGAGAGGAGAAGAAUCCGGACCACCUGCUAAGGUCCCGAAAUAACAGCUAAGUUAAACUAACGAAGUCAGAUUGCUAAGACAGCUAGGAUGUUGGCUUGGAAGCAGCCAUUCAUUUAAAGAGUGCGUAACAGCUCACUAGUCGAGGAGUUUGGCGUGGAUAAUAAUCGGGCAUUAAGCAAUUUACCGAAGCUAUGGGAUCAGUAAUGAUCGGUAGGGGAGCAUUCCACUCUGCGUCGAAGGUGAAGCGUGAGCUUUGCUGGAGCGUGUGGAAAAGCAAAUGUAGGUAUAAGUAACGAUAAAGGGGGUGGGAAACCCCCUCGCCGAAAGACUAAGGUUUCCUGAUCAACGCUAAUCGGAUCAGGGUUAGUCGGGUCCUAAGGCUCAGCCGAACGGUGAGGCCGAUGGCAGAACAGGUUAAUAUUCCUGUACUACCUUAAGGAGUGACGUGGAGACGGAGGAGUGACAGCGCCGCGGACUGACGGAAUAGUCCGUUGAAGGGUGUAGAUGUUGAUUAUCCCAGGCAAAUCCGGGAUAAGAGUCGAACCUGAUAGUAUACCAAAUUCUUCGGAAUAAGGUAAUAGUGCGUGUAAGCAUACUCCCAAGAAAAUCCGCUAAACUUAAUCUUUAAGGUACCCGUACCGCAAACGGACACACGUAGUCGGGUUGAAUAUACUAAGGCGCUUGAGUGAUUCACGGUUAAGGAACUAGGCAAAUUGACCCUGUAACUUCGGGAUAAAGGGUCCCCACUGUAAGGUGGGGCGCAGAGAAUCGGUCCAGGCAACUGUUUAACAAAAACACAGGGCUGUGCAAAAUUGAAAGAUGAAGUAUACAGCCUGACACCUGCCCGGUGCUGGAAGGUUAAGAGGAGAUGUCAUCGCAAGAGAAGCAUUGAAUUGAAGCCCCAGUAAACGGCGGCCGUAACUAUAACGGUCCUAAGGUAGCGAAAUUCCUUGUCGGGU